RNAcentral lists this ribosomal RNA (1343 nucleotides) under Catenibacillus scindens. Its description in RNAcentral is "intestinal bacterium CG19-1 Bacterial large subunit ribosomal RNA". It matches the Rfam family "Bacterial large subunit ribosomal RNA", at positions 1566 to 2925 of the family's 2925-position model. Lineage: Bacteria; Bacillati; Bacillota; Clostridia; Lachnospirales; Lachnospiraceae. The record is from Rfam by way of RNAcentral.
GGGGAGCGAAAUAGAAGUAGCGAAGCGGGUGAAUCCAUACUGUCGAGAAAAGCCGCUAUAGCUCCAUAUGUACCCGUACCGUAAACCGACACAGGUGGAUGAGGAGAGAAUCCUAAGGCCGGCGGGAGAAGUGUUGUUAAGGAACUCGGCAAAAUGGUCCCGUAACUUCGGGAGAAGGGACGCCAGAGUGAUCUGGCCGCAGAGAAAAGGCUCAAGCAACUGUUUAGCAAAAACACAGGUCUAUGCGAAACCGAAAGGUGAGGUAUAUGGGCUGACGCCUGCCCGGUGCUGGAAGGUUAAGGGGAGAGGUUAGCGCAAGCGAAGCUUUGAACUUAAGCCCCAGUAAACGGCGGCCGUAACUAUAACGGUCCUAAGGUAGCGAAAUUCCUUGUCGGGUAAGUUCCGACCCGCACGAAAGGCGUAAUGAUUUGAGCGCUGUCUCGACAACACACCCGGUGAAAUUGAAAUACCAGUGAAGAUGCUGGUUACCUGCGCCAGGACGGAAAGACCCCAUGGAGCUUUACUCCAGCUUGAUACUGGGACUAGGUAAUGUAUGUACAGGAUAGGUGGGAGCCAGAGAAGAUAAGACGCCAGUCUUAUUGGAGGCGAUGUUGGGAUACCACCCUUGCGUUAUUUGGUUUCUAACAUAAGCCCGUGAACCGGGCGAUGGACAAUGUCAGGCGGGGAGUUUGACUGGGGCGGUCGCCUCCGAAAGGGUAUCGGAGGCGCUCAAAGGUUCCCUCAGGAUGGACGGAAACCAUCCAAAGAGUGCAAAGGCAGAAGGGAGCUUGACUGUGACACCGACGGGUGGAACAGGUACGAAAGUAGGACUUAGUGAUCCGGUGGUAUUAAGUGGGAAUGCCAUCGCUCAACGGAUAAAAGCUACCCUGGGGAUAACAGGCUUAUCACUCCCAAGAGUUCACAUCGACGGAGUGGUUUGGCACCUCGAUGUCGGCUCAUCGCAUCCUGGGGCUGAAGUAGGUCCCAAGGGUUGGGCUGUUCGCCCAUUAAAGCGGUACGCGAGCUGGGUUCAGAACGUCGUGAGACAGUUCGGUCCCUAUCCGGCGUGGGCGUAGGAAGUUUGAGAGGAGCUGUCCUUAGUACGAGAGGACCGGGAUGGACUGACCGCUGGUGGAUCUGUUGUUUGACCAGAAGCAUGGCAGAGUAGCCAAGUCAGGAGCGGAUAAACGCUGAAGGCAUCUAAGCGUGAAGCCGACCUCAAGAUAAGACUUCCCAUACGAAAGUAGUAAGACCCCUUGAAGACGACGAGGUAGAUAGGGCAGAGGUGGAAGCAUAGUAAUAUGUGGAGCUGACUGUUACUAAUCGGUCGAGGGCUUGACCUG